AUAUCUUUGCAUGUCUCUCCAUA
Molecule: non-coding RNA, 23 nt
Filed under: Arabidopsis thaliana (thale cress)
Lineage: Eukaryota; Viridiplantae; Streptophyta; Magnoliopsida; Brassicales; Brassicaceae
Source: RNAcentral